This 353-nucleotide ribosomal RNA is filed under the name uncultured bacterium. RNAcentral describes it as "bacterial SSU rRNA". It matches the Rfam family "Bacterial small subunit ribosomal RNA", at positions 917 to 1267 of the family's 1533-position model. The record is from RNAcentral.
GGGCCCGCACAAGCGGUGGAGCAUGUGGCUUAAUUCGAGGCAACGCGAAGAACCUUACCUGGUCUUGACAUGCCCGUCAUAGUUUUCCGAAAGGAAUUCGUCAGUUCGGCUGGACGGUGCACAGGUGCUGCAUGGCUGUCGUCAGCUCGUGUCGUGAGAUGUUCGUUAAGUCCGGCAACGAGCGCAACCCUCGUUCCUAGUUGCCAGCGGGUAAUGCCGGGGACUCUAGGAAGACAAACCUCGUGUAGAGGUGGGAAGGUGGGGACGACGUCAAGUCAGUAUGGCCCUUACGACCAGGGCUGCACACGUGCUACAAUGCUUGGUACAAUGGGAUGCAACACCGCGAGGUUGAG